UCCACUAUAGUUCAGUGGUAGAACACCCCGCCGAUCAGUGAAUUCGGCGGCGGGUGGACGGAGGUUCGAUUCCUUCUGGUGGCA
Molecule: non-coding RNA, 84 nt
Organism: Mycena epipterygia
Lineage: Eukaryota; Fungi; Basidiomycota; Agaricomycetes; Agaricales; Mycenaceae
Source: the annotation of a GenBank genome assembly